Molecule: non-coding RNA, 1207 nt
Organism: Phalacrocorax carbo (great cormorant)
Lineage: Eukaryota; Metazoa; Chordata; Aves; Suliformes; Phalacrocoracidae
Source: RefSeq, a predicted model, not a curated record
CUUUGGUGAUAUGAUGCGAUGUUUGGCACUGUUACACUUGUGAUGCACGCUGCUUCCUGCCCCUGUGCCAGAAAACAACAUUUACCGAGGUCGCAUGCAGAGUGCUUGAUUAGUAUCGGAGCAGCUGAAGAGUGCUCAAGCAAAGGUCACCAGAAGAUAACCCUCCACAGAGUUCAGCUGGCACCUUUACUGGCCUGACAGAAGAUGAACAUCACCUGAGUUCCUGGGAGCUUCACAAUCAGGUACAGAGAUGAACAGGAACAAGGGAGAGGCUUUCACGCUGCUGUCUUUGCAGAUGACAGUAAGGAAUUGGGAAUGUAUGUGUCAAUGUGCAAGCUGUUACAAAACAAAGCCAUACUGUAAUGUUAAAAAGCAUGCAGUAGACUUAGCACAAGACAAAACAUCAAAGGGAAGAAUAAAAGGAUUCAUGUUCAGAUCUGCAAGCCUGGAUCAAAUGCUGAGCCAUAAGGGUUGAAUUUUAAUCCAAACCCAGGUAUUUCAGAGGUCAUCGUUAUUACUUAAACCUUGGUUGUAUAAGGCAAAAAAAGAAGCAAAAAUAAACCCUUUGAAGCACUGGCGGCUUUCCUUUAUAAAUUUUGCUAAGGACUAAUUAAUGUGUCAUAUAUUUUACUUGACUGAAGUACUAGGAAGUGGCGGCUAUAAAGCAGAUGAUUUGGAAAAGUGAAUCAGCUUCCCACUCUCUCUGUAAAACGCUAAUACUAAGGGUGCUGUUUCUUGCUGUCGUAGUCUCACUCAAAACACAGCCAUCUUCUUCAACAGGAAAGAAAUCUCCUGUAUUUUCAUGAUACCUAAAGAAAACCUGUCUUAUCCCAGUGAUGUCUUGUAAUUAACCACCUGAGUCUGUUUUCUUCAGCAAACUGGGCUGCGGGCCAAGAUGUUCAGAGAGUGAAGUUGGAAGAGCAUCAAAUUUUGAGGCUUCGGUAACCUUGAGCACGUAGAAGAGAAUAUGCUUUUUUGAGCAGGUCACAUAUAGAGCAUUUAUUAGAACUUGCACAUUACAAGUAUCAACAUUUUUUUUCCAGAAGUUUCAGCUGCAUCUUUUUAUGCUCAAGACUUCUUCUGUCACCUCUGAGUUCACUGUGUCUCAACACUUCAUGAUACAGCAUUUUCAGCACUACAAACGGUACUCCAAGUCUGGAUUAAGCUGUGAUCAAUUUUGUGCCCUCCCAAGGUACUCACCCAAGGU